AUGAUAUGAAGCAUGGUGGAGGCAGCAUCAUGAUGUGAAGCACGGUGGUGGCAGCAUCAUGAUGUGAUUCUUCUCUGGCUAAUCUCUGAAUCUCCUCCAGGGCUGAUGGAAUCACGACAUACCAGAUCAUUGUCCACACCUCAUAUCUUUGUUAGGAGACAGUCUGUGUUUGACCUGAUGGGGUUCAUUAACAGCUUCUGUUGACGGGGUUGGUGAGGAGGAUGAUGAUGAUGAUGAUGAUGACAUCACUGGAGGUGGGCUGUAUUGAUCUGAGAAUGUAGACACUAAAAAGAGCACUGGAGAGCUAGUAGCUGAUUAAACAAGUGAGCUCUAUCUUUGUUAGUGUGUGUGCAUGUGUAGAAGAAGAAACAUUUUUUGUAAACAGCUGUAACUUUCCAGCCUGACAUGUGUGUAUCCAUCAGAGCUUGCAGUUAGAGCUUAGCUCCAUGUCUUCCCUUUUAAAGGUUAAGCUCAGCUCAUGCAUUCAUUGCACAUUAAAUGGUUAUUAUUAUCAAUAUAACACUCAUAUGUAAUAUCAAUUUCAGUGUUCAGUUAGUAGUACCUUUGUAAGAUAAAGAAUCCUAACACCAGACUUACUGGCUCUUGAGAGGGACUCACCCUAACCCACCCACAGGAUGCUCACUUCACUUUAUCAGUCAUCUUUCAAGAAAACAUCUUGCAUAAUCUACUGCUGCAAAACCUCCUCACAGAACCGUCUGUUGUUGAAGGAAACUAAAGACAUCAAAGACAAUCUGCUGAGAAGCUGCAGCAGAUCUACACUUGAAGACAAAACUUUCAGCCUCGCUGUAAAAUUUUAGGGUUUUUCGUAAAAUUCUCAUGUGCUGUUAAACAGAUGAAGGAGUUUUGAACAGCUUUUCCAGACAUCCUGGUUUUGUUUUGGAUGCUUACAUUAUUUUACUUUACACACAGAAACUAAAUGAUUUAAGAAAAAUGGAGCAGCUGCUCCUUUGCCCCUUGAUGCCCAGAGUGCCCUGUUGUCAAAGUAGUUUUUUUAUUUGUAAGUGUGUGUGAAAGUGUAGCUCUAAAAUAAUAAUUAAAACAAAGAUAAUAAUAAUUGAGAUGUACUCUCGGUGGGUCACAUGAUCCACGUAGACGUCCCUCGCUGCCCUGAGAGGCUGAGAUGUUCCCUGUAGCUCAGCGCUAGCACUGUUGGUGUAGAAACCAAAGACAUGAGGGAGGAGGUGAGAAGGUUUCACAGUGGUACUCGUUUGUGUACGGCGUAUUUUACAUGACAAACGAAGUGAAGUGAGCAUCCUGUGUGUGUCUGACUCCUCUCUCUGGCACACCUCUCAUCACUUAUAGUUGCUGGUUAACCACAAACCAUUCUAUGUUUCAGUUGUUCGGUGCUUUAGAGAGAUGAAUCCCUUUCCUGUCAGUGAGCGGCAGUGAGUUUCCUGUUUCUAGAAGCUCUGAAAGGCAGCGGAUCACUCACAGCUGGAUGAUAAAGAGCUCUAAAGGUAGCAUCUGUUUACAUCACACAGGUGUUAGUCAGAGAAAACUACAAUAACAAGCACAGGUUCAACGUUGUCGUUGUGUUACAUUAUCUGUUAUUAUGUAUGGUGGCUUUUUUAUUGAUCAGGUGUAAGAGACAUUCAUUGGAUUAAUCCAAGAGCAAAUUAUGCUUUGCUUGGUUGCAUUUGGUUUUACUGAGGUUAGAAAACACAGAUAAAGCUGUGAAAUUAAAAUAAAGAGGUGUCACAUUUGUUCCAUUUUUGCCCUGCAGUUUUAUUUCAACUUAUAAAGCAAAGACUAAAGGAAGAGCAGCCACAGUUAAACAGUUCAGUGUCUAAUGGUGAUCUGAAUUCAACUUCAUACACUUUCUUCCUAUGACCUAGAUUAAUGCACAACUUGAAUUAUGGCUUUGUGGAUACAGGCUGUACCUCCAAAGGUCUGUGCACGGCCCUGUUGCUAACUCUCAUUAAGUGAGUGUGUUGGGAGCUGAUUUAGUUCAAUUUACUUUUAUUUAUAUAGCGCCAAUUACAGGUCAGAUUCUCUGAAGACACUUUACAGAACCCAUGUGAACCCCAGAGCAGCCCUAAGGAGACAGUGGCAAGAAAAACACCCUUUUAACGGGAAGAAACCUGGAGCAGAACCCGGCUUUUUAUGUGGGGGAACCCAUCUGCUGCUGGCCGGACGGGUUGAGAGGGACAGAAGAGGUAGAGAGAUAGAGAUAGAGGGAUGGAGGUAGAGGGGGGAGGGGAACAAGGACCAUGUAACACACAGUUGGAUACAUGCGAUGCAGAGUAGAUUGAUGGAAAUGGGCAGCUGGAAGCAGUGGGCUGGAGGAAGGUCAGCAGCAGCAGCAUCCCACAGAUGGAGAUUAGGCCAGUUGGUGGGAGAACCACCACAGAUCUGAAGCAUCCAGCUCUGGGAUCAGGGACACUCGGAGAAAGGACACAGGGAGAAACAGAGUGAGUGUAAUGCAAUAAUGGUAUAUAUAUAUUAAAUAUAAUGGUAGAUAGAGAAGGGCUCAGUGCAUCCAGAGAGGUCCUCCAGCAGCCUAGGCCUGUAGCAGCAGAACUAGGGGCAAACUAAGGGACGUCCAAGAGGAAGACUCCAGCUGACCCCCUCAGGAUCCCCCAGUCAGUCCUAACUAUAAGAUUUGUCAAAAAGGAAGGUUUUAAGCCUGGUCUUAAAAUUAGAGAGGGUGUCCGCCUCCAGAACCCAAACUGGGAGCUGGUUCCACAAGAGAGGAGCUGAUAACUGAAGGCUCUGCCUCACAUUCUACUUUUAGAGAGAAGUUACAGGUCACUUCUCCAAGUAAGCCUGCAGUCUGAGAGCGAAGAGUUCUGCUAGGAUAAAGACAUGAUAGUACCAUUAUCAGGUAGGUCUAUAAGAUAUGAUGGAGAUUGGUUGUUAAGAGCUUUAUAUGUCAGAAGAAGGAUUUUGAAUUCUAUUCUAGAUUUCACAGGUGUGUCCAAAGUGAUUUAAAAUGCUCCAAAAUCACAACUGUGUAUAAAAUAACUUAGAUUUGGUCCAAAAUCACUUAAAAUUCAUUCCAAAUUAUUUCACUUUGGUCCAAAAUUACAUAACAUUUGUCCACAGUUAAAAUUUGUCCAAAUGACAAUAAAUGCGUUUAAAUUUUAUUUCCAAAAUGACUUGGAAAUUGUCCAAAACUACUUAAACUCAUCUCAGAUGAACUAGAACAGUCCAGUCACGCAGUUAGAAGUCUCUGUUCUGGUUUCCGUACGUGGGUGUGCCGCAUGUAAAGUGGAGCGCAUGCACAAAGUGCAGCUGCAGUAGCAUCACUGCUUCAGUCGACAGUCGUGUGCCGGAGCUGCAUCAUCCAGAGAACUUCUGCUGAACUCAGGUGGCUCUGAGAAAUGGUGGAACCUGAAGAGAACCUAACCGGCGUCUGGACAAAGAUCUGAAGGAAAACAGUUCUGUGCAGGUUUUCCACUUGCCUCAUUGUGUGACUGAAGAUCCGGUCGGAGCCUCUGAACCUGCAGAGACUGAUGGGAGGACGACUGAAACCACCUGAUGUCUACCUGAAGUGGCAAAGUGCAUCUCAACCUUCUCUGCUUGUCUUUUUGAUUAACUUAGAAAUGUUUUGUGUUUAAUUAUCAGAAUAUUUUUCUAAAUGGUGAAGAGAAUAUCAGGGUUAAAACAGAUCAGCCUGCAGUCUGCAUGGAAAGAUACUUCUGUUCAAACUCACUAAAGCAUUCUGCUCACAAAACUUUCACUCUUCAUACAGAUUAAUUAUGUCUAAAACCAGAUUCACCCCGAGCCAGAGAUGGUUUAUUCCUGCACAGAUCAAUUAUGACGUCAAAUGUCCUCCAAUCCUGGAACGACCCAUAUGUCAAAAAUGACUUGAAAUUCAUUCCAAUUGACAGAACAUGUGUCCAGAGUUGAAAUUUGCUCAGAAUUAUUCAGAAGUCAUUCAAAAUUACUUAGGAUGGUCUAAAAUGAUUUGAAACUUGUCCAAAAUUACUUAAAUGAUCCAAAAUUAUUUAAAAUGUGUCCAGAAUUACACAAAAGGGUCCGAAAUAUACUUGAAAAUUGUCAAAUAUGAUUUUAAGCUCAUCUUAAAUUACAUAAAAUGGUUCAAAAUUGCUUAAAAUUUGUUUAAAAUACAUAAAGGUUUGUUCAAAUUGACUCAGAAUGUGCCCAAACUGAUUUAAAACUCAUCCAAAGUGACUUAAAAUGGUCCAAAGUUAUUUAAAAUUUGUCCAAAAUGACCCAGAUCUCAUUCAAAAUUACUUAGGAUGAGUUUUAAGUCAUUUUGGGCAGAUUUCGAUUUAUUUUGUACCAGUUUUAAAGAUUUACUCCAAAUAUGUUUGAACAUCUUCAGAUGGAAUUAAUUUACUGUUUGUGUUUCCUGAAAGCAGAAAGUCUAUUUAUGAAAGCUGCAGGAAGAAAACAGACAAAACAUAACAUUUUAAGUCCAGUUUUACUAAAACUGACAGCAAAAUGUAGUUUUUGUGCCAUUUAUGCUGCACGAAUUUAAAUAACUCUACUUGUAGAAUGACUGGGGUGAUUUUGUAGAAAGAAAAAAUAAAAAAUGAUCCAAAAAUAAGAAAAAGAAACACUGAUAGGCCCUGUGAACGACGUUCAGAUAUUUGUCUUUUGCUCAAACAGCAUUAGAAAAUAGUUUUAUUUCACAUCACGAUGUCAAACUAAACAUCACACAGCUUCAAUAUUUAUCUGCUUCUCUGACCACUGAGCAGCGUUCAGUGAUUAAUUAUUUAUUUUCAGCUUUUUUAAGGAACAUUUUUGUUGUCAGUUCUGAUGUAGCCACCUCUAUGCUCCGCCCACAGCGCCAUCUGAUUGGUUAAACGGCGUCAGAAACAGCCAAUAAACACUGAAAGAUAAAUGUUCUCAGUGACAUUAACAAUAAAGACAUUUCAACAGA
Molecule: long non-coding RNA, 4873 nt
Organism: Amphiprion ocellaris (clown anemonefish)
Lineage: Eukaryota; Metazoa; Chordata; Actinopteri; Pomacentridae
Exons: 3
Source: RefSeq, a predicted model, not a curated record